GAUCAAGCGACUAAGUGCAUGUGGUGGAUGCCUUGGCGAUCACAGGCGAUGAAGGACGUGCAAGCCUGCGAAAAGCUACGGGGAGUUGGCAACGAAACUUUGAUCCGUAGAUAUCCGAAUGGGGAAACCCACCCGCAAGGGUAUCCCAUACUGAAUCCAUAGGUAUGGGAGGCGAACCCGGUGAACUGAAACAUCUAAGUAGCCGGAGGAAAAGAAAUCAACCGAGAUUCCGUAAGUAGUGGCGAGCGAACACGGAAAAGCCUGCUAGUGAUAGCGGAACUGUUAAUAGAACGGAAUGGAAAGUCCGGCCGUAGUGGGUGAUAGCCCCGUAUAUGAAAACAGAUCCGUGGUACUAAGUUAGCGAAAAGUAGGGCGGG
Molecule: non-coding RNA, 377 nt
Filed under: Nelumbo nucifera (sacred lotus)
Lineage: Eukaryota; Viridiplantae; Streptophyta; Magnoliopsida; Proteales; Nelumbonaceae
Description: Bacterial large subunit ribosomal RNA
Rfam family: Bacterial large subunit ribosomal RNA
Source: Rfam by way of RNAcentral